AUUGAACGCUGGCGGCAGGCCUAACACAUGCAAGUCGAACGAGUGGCGGACGGGUGUGUAAUGUCUGGGAAACUGCCUGAUGGAGGGGGCUAACUACUGUAAACGGUAGCUAAUACCGCAUACCAUCGGAUGUGCCCAGAUGGGAUUAGCUAGUAGGUGGGGUAACGGCUCACCAAGGCGACGAUCCCUAGCUGGUCUGAGAGGAUGACCAGCCACACUGGAACUGAGACACGGUCCAGACUCCUACGGGAGGCAGCAGUGGGGAAUAUUGGAGAAUGGGCGAAAGCCUGAGCAAGCCAUGCCGCGUGUGCGAAGAAGGCCUUCGGGUUGUAAAGCACUUUUGGCAGGGAAGCGGUACCUGAAGAAUAAGCAACGGCUAACUACGUGCCAGCAGCCGCGGUAAUUA
This 406-nucleotide ribosomal RNA is filed under the name uncultured bacterium. Its description in RNAcentral is "partial 16S ribosomal RNA". It matches the Rfam family "Bacterial small subunit ribosomal RNA", at positions 30 to 525 of the family's 1533-position model. The record is from RNAcentral.